RNAcentral lists this ribosomal RNA (253 nucleotides) under uncultured bacterium. RNAcentral's name for it is "partial 16S ribosomal RNA". It matches the Rfam family "Bacterial small subunit ribosomal RNA", at positions 524 to 776 of the family's 1533-position model. RNAcentral also lists the same sequence under 1 other name. The record is from RNAcentral.
UACGUAGGGGGCAAGCGUUGUCCGGAAUCAUUGGGCGUAAAGCGCGUGUAGGCGGCCAGGUAAGUCCGUUCUGAAAGCCCGGGGCUCAACCCCGGGAGGCGGAUGGAUACUGCUUGGCUCGAGUCCGGAAGAGGCGAGUGGAAUUCCCGGUGUAGCGGUGAAAUGCGCAGAUAUCGGGAGGAACACCAAUGGCGAAGGCAGCUCGCUGGGACGGUACUGACGCUGAGACGCGAAAGCGUGGGGAGCAAACAGG